RNAcentral lists this ribosomal RNA (594 nucleotides) under uncultured Bacteroidota bacterium. Its description in RNAcentral is "bacterial SSU rRNA". It matches the Rfam family "Bacterial small subunit ribosomal RNA", at positions 122 to 715 of the family's 1533-position model. Lineage: Bacteria; Pseudomonadati; Bacteroidota. The record is from RNAcentral.
CAACCUGCCGCUUACUCGGGGAUAGCCUUUCGAAAGAAAGAUUAAUACCCGAUGGUAUAAAGAGUUCGCAUGUUCUCUUUAUUAAAGAAUUUCGGUAAGCGAUGGGGAUGCGUUCCAUUAGAUUGUUGGCGGGGUAACGGCCCACCAAGUCUACGAUGGAUAGGGGUUCUGAGAGGAAGGUCCCCCACAUUGGAACUGAGACACGGUCCAAACUCCUACGGGAGGCAGCAGUGAGGAAUAUUGGUCAAUGGACGAGAGUCUGAACCAGCCAAGUAGCGUGAAGGAUGACUGCCCUAUGGGUUGUAAACUUCUUUUAUAAGGGAAUAAAGUGAGGGACGUGUCCCUUUUUGUAUGUACCUUAUGAAUAAGGAUCGGCUAACUCCGUGCCAGCAGCCGCGGUAAUACGGAGGAUCCAAGCGUUAUCCGGAUUUAUUGGGUUUAAAGGGUGCGUAGGUUGACAUAUAAGUCAGCUGUGAAAGUUUACGGCUCAACCGUGAAAUUGCAGUUGAUACUGUAUGUCUUGAGUGUACAAGAGGUGGGCGGAAUUCGUGGUGUAGCGGUGAAAUGCUUAGAUAUCACGAAGAACUCCGAUUG